Molecule: long non-coding RNA, 423 nt
Organism: Saccostrea echinata
Lineage: Eukaryota; Metazoa; Mollusca; Bivalvia; Ostreida; Ostreidae
Exons: 3
Source: RefSeq, a predicted model, not a curated record
CUGAAGUAGAAAAGCACAGGAAACCUAUAAAUUUCCGGAUGCACGCACCUGCUAAAGGAAACCAGACCAUGUACAGUUUGUACACUUGGUAUUGCGCAACUUGACGAAAAAAAGAAAAUCGGUUGACAUGGAAACGCUUGAAGAACUGCCAUACACUUUACUGGUUGGAUCCAUCGUAAUGGUUUUGAUGAUGUCAUUUAUUGUUACACGGGUCUUGACUGGCACAUGCAAGAAUACUGGUGAUUUUCGUCCAAAGCCAAAAUCAACCUAAUACAGCACUACAACUUUAUACAACAAUUUUGUCAAUUUAUUUUAUAUCAGCAUGUUGGAAGUAUUUUCAUUGUAUAUUUACAUUUUUAAAAUGUUUGUUGCUUUUUGGAUUAUUUCCACUUUAAAAUGUUUUAUAUAAAUACUUUUACUUAA